UGGGGGACGUUGGGUUGUUCCUUCCGGUUCCGAACUGUAGUAUAAAGAAGAGAAGUUGAUGGACCUGACCCGUUCUAAAAGUGAAGGGGCUCUUUCGAGCUGGGGAGGAUCAUGUUCCUGGGUAGUGUUUUCGGGUUGUUGAGUAGGUGGGAAUUUGUAGAAGGAGAAGUAGUCGAUGGACUUGACCCGUUGUAAAAGAGAAGGGGCUCUUUCGAGCUGGGGAGGAUCGUGUUCGUGGGUGGUGUUUGCGGGUUCUUGGGCAGGUGGGAAGUUGUAGAAGGAGAAGUAGUCGAUGGACUUGACCCGUUGUAAAAGAGAAGGGGCUCUUUCGAGCUGGGGAGGAUCGUGUUCAUGGGUGGUGUUUGCGGGUUCUUGGGCAGGUGGGAAGUUGUAGAAGGAGAAGUAGUCGAUGGACUUGACUCGUUGUAAAAGAGAAGGAGCUCGAGCAAGGUGCUGGCCUUCGUGUACUGGUUUAUUGUGAGUACCAUAACGGGAAGCAAGAGCAAUGGUGGCAAUCAUAAUAUUCAGG
RNAcentral lists this long non-coding RNA (529 nucleotides) under Populus tremula. Its description in RNAcentral is "long non-coding RNA (PTRE_LNC002529)". The record is from RNAcentral. Lineage: Eukaryota; Viridiplantae; Streptophyta; Magnoliopsida; Malpighiales; Salicaceae.